ACUCCUUGGUUAUCAACUUCGA
This 22-nucleotide microRNA is filed under the name Hordeum vulgare. RNAcentral describes it as "hvu-miR6210". Lineage: Eukaryota; Viridiplantae; Streptophyta; Magnoliopsida; Poales; Poaceae. The record is from miRBase by way of RNAcentral.